ACGGAAAAGGGAAAGGGCUUAGUGGCGGACGGGUGAGUAACGCGUGGGUAACCUGGCCCAUACAGGGGGAUAACACUUAGAAAUAGGUGCUAAUACCGCAUAACAACAGAAAGCGCAUGCUUUUUGUUUGAAAACCAAGGUGGUNUAAGGGAUGGACCCGCGUCUGAUUAGCUGGUUGGCGGGGUAAAGGCCCACCAAGGCGACGAUCAGUAGCCGGCCUGAGAGGGUGGACGGCCACAUUGGGACUGAGACACGGCCCAAACUCCUACGGGAGGCAGCAG
This 281-nucleotide ribosomal RNA is filed under the name uncultured bacterium. RNAcentral describes it as "partial 16S ribosomal RNA". It matches the Rfam family "Bacterial small subunit ribosomal RNA", at positions 80 to 354 of the family's 1533-position model. The record is from RNAcentral.